ACUCAAAUGAAUUGACGGGGGCCCGCACAAGCGGUGGAGCAUGUGGUUCAAUUCGACGCAACGCGAAGAACCUUACCAGGGCUUGACAUCCUCUGUAAGCUGCAGAAAUGCAGUCCCCGUAGCAAUACGGCAGAGAGACAGGUGCUGCAUGGCUGUCGUCAGCUCGUGUCGUGAGAUGUUGGGUUAAGUCCCGCAACGAGCGCAACCCUCGUCGAAUGUUGCCAGCAUUUAGUUGGGCACUCAUUCGAGACCGCCGUUGAUAAGACGGAGGAAGGUGGGGAUGACGUCAAGUCAGCAUGGCCCUUACGUCCUGGGCCACACACGUGCUACAAUGGCCGGUACAACGGGCAGCAAGAUCGCGAGAUCAAGCGAAUCCCUUAAAACCGGUCUCAGUUCGGAUUGAAGGCUGCAACUCGCCUUCAUGAAGUCGGAAUCGCUAGUAACCGCAGAUCAGCUACGCUGCGGUGAAUACGUUCCCGGGCCUUGCACACACCGCCCGU
Molecule: ribosomal RNA, 500 nt
Filed under: uncultured bacterium
Lineage: Bacteria
Description: partial 16S ribosomal RNA
Rfam family: Bacterial small subunit ribosomal RNA
Source: RNAcentral